RNAcentral lists this ribosomal RNA (460 nucleotides) under uncultured bacterium. RNAcentral's name for it is "partial 16S ribosomal RNA". It matches the Rfam family "Bacterial small subunit ribosomal RNA", at positions 338 to 795 of the family's 1533-position model. The record is from RNAcentral.
CCUACGGGUGGCAGCAGUGAGGAAUAUUGGUCAAUGGGCGCGAGCCUGAACCAGCCAAGUAGCGUGAAGGAUGACUGCCCUACGGGUUGUAAACUUCUUUUAUAAAGGAAUAAAGUGCGGCACGUGUGCCUUUUUGUAUGUACUUUAUGAAUAAGAAUCGGCUAACUCCUUGCCAGCAGCCGCGGUAAUACGGAGGAUCCGAGCGUUCUCCGGAUUUAUUGGGUUUAAAGGGAGCGUAGAUGGGUUGUUAAGUCAGUUGUGAAAGUUUGCGGCUCAACCGUAAAAUUGCAAUUGAUACUGGCAGUCUGGAGUACAGUGGAGGUAGGCGGAAUUCGUGGUGUAGCGGUGAAAUGCUUAGAUAUCACGAAGAACUCCGAUUGCGAAGGCAGCCUACUAAACUGCAACUGACAUUGAUGCUCGAAAGUGUGGGUAUCAAACAGGAGUAGAUACCCGAGUAGUC